GCUGACACAUCCCGGCCAAUCUCCAGCAGACCCUCCCUCCCAGACCCUCCCACCUCCUGGACAGCAUCCAUGUUGAAGGCAGCUUCAACAUGGAUGCUGUCCAGGAGGUGGGAGGGUCUGGGAGGGAGGGUCUGCUGGAGAUUGGCUGGGAUGUGUCAG
Non-coding RNA from Pelobates cultripes (western spadefoot toad), 159 nucleotides. NCBI's taxonomy places the organism in Eukaryota, Metazoa, Chordata, Amphibia, Anura, Pelobatidae. The record is from the annotation of a GenBank genome assembly.